CUACGGGUCGCAGCAGUGAGGAAUAUUGCACAAUGGGGGGAACCCUGAUGCAGCAACGCCGCGUGGAGGAUGACGCAUUUCGGUGUGUAAACUCCUUUUAUAUGUCAAGAAAAUGACGGUAGCAUAUGAAUAAGCACCGGCUAACUCCGUGCCAGCAGCCGCUGUAAUACGGAGGGUGCAAGCGUUACUCGGAAUCACUGGGCGUAAAGGACGCGUAGGGGGGUUGGAAAGUCAGGUGUGAAAUCCUACAGCUUAACUGUAGAACUGCACUUGAAACUUCUAAUCUAGAGUAUGGGAGGGGGAGAUGGAAUUAGUGGUGUAGGGGUAAAAUCCGUAGAUAUCACUAGGAAUACCUAAAGCGAAGGCGAUCUCCUGGAACAUUACUGACGCUAAGGCGUGAAAGCGUGGGGAGCAAACAGGAUUAGAUCCCGUGUAGUC
RNAcentral lists this ribosomal RNA (438 nucleotides) under uncultured bacterium. RNAcentral describes it as "partial 16S ribosomal RNA". It matches the Rfam family "Bacterial small subunit ribosomal RNA", at positions 339 to 795 of the family's 1533-position model. The record is from RNAcentral.